This is a long non-coding RNA of Oncorhynchus tshawytscha (Chinook salmon), 2833 nucleotides long. Lineage: Eukaryota; Metazoa; Chordata; Actinopteri; Salmoniformes; Salmonidae. The record is from Ensembl.
UCUCCCUCCCCGAUAGGUCCAGGCAGAGAUGGAAAAAAACAACAACAAGGGCUUUAAAAACAUCCACAUUGUUCCGUCCAUCAGUAACAUCUGGUUAUCAAACCGGGGUACUGUGGCUACAUUCUCCUGUUUUUCGGCACAUUGUUUAUUCUCCUCCAUCUCCGGGGAGGACAGAAAUCAAAGUUUACAGUUUUUUUCUUGCGUGAACUCAAAACGCGAACAUGCCCAGCAAGAGGAAGAAGAACAAGCGCCGCAUGAGAAGGGUGCAGGCCCAGAGGAGAGUCCUUGAGGAGCAGCAUUCUACUGGCGCAGGCAAAGGAACCCCAGGAGUGGCUGCCGUGGCACCCCCCCUUGAAAUAUUAAAUUGUCCCCCCCUUCUCUCACCCCCUCCAGUAGUAAAGGUCCCAGUCGUAAAGCCCCCUGAAAUAUCCAAUUGUCACCCCCUUAUUCCCCCCACUAUAGUAGUAAAGGUCCCAUUCGUACAGCCACCGGCCCCAGUCAAAGUACCAGAUCCUGAGGCUGUGGUGACGGUGGUAGAGCCUGAAGUGGUAGCAGCUGAGGUUGAAGUUGAGGCCCCAGUCGAAGCUCCAGUGGAGGUUGAAGUCGAGGCCCCAGAAGAAGUUCCAGAAGAAGUCCCAGUCGAGGCCCCAGAAGAAGUCCCAGUCGAGGCCCCAGUCGAGGCCCCAGAAGAAGUCCCAGUCGAGGCCCCAGAAGAAGUCCCAGUCGAGACCCCAGAAGAAGUCCCAGUCGAGACCCCAGAAGAAGUCCCAGUCGAGGCUCCAGAAGAAGUCCCAGUUGAGGUCCCAGUCGUAGAAGCAGAAGCUCCUGUUGAGCCCCCUACAGAAGAAACUGCAGCAGGGCAGGAAGUUGAAGAAAGCAUCAUUCCAGAGACUGAGCCAGUAACUGAGGCCAUACCCAUUCCUGAGGCCCCUGUGUCAGCUCUUGCUGAAUUUGAGGUUCAGGUCGCAAACUCCGUAGCGAUUACCACAGAGAUCGCACAGACUCAUGAUGAGCCGGGGCUCGAGGCUGAAGUGGAGGCUGAAAUAGUUGACGAGGUCCAAGCGAAAGUAGAGGCAGUAGUUGAGGAAGAACCAGAGCCCGAUCCCAUGGUCAAGGCCGAAGCUGCCCCAGUUGUAGAAGCUGAACUUGAACUGUCGGGAAUCAAAGACGGAGACAGUCCUAUCGUCAAAGCUGAAGCCAUUCCUGAAGAUAUUGAUGUAGAAGAGCAUGAGACUGUUAUGGCAGAGGCACCUGAAGAGGUUCCAGUGCAGACAGAAAUUAUCCCAGAAAAGCUGUGGAAGCCCGUGGAAGCACCGAUUGAAGAAGCCCCCGUAGCCAAGAUCGCUCCAGCAGAGCUCCUCGUAGAGGCCUCAGUAGACCCUGUCAUCAACACAAUGGCUGACUUUGCCAUCACAGAAUCUGUUCCCGUUGUGGAAGCAGCCAUGGCUGAGCAGGUGCCCGCAGUUUCAACGGAUUCACUUGACGCCCUAUCGGAGUUGCUGAACGACAUCACUCUAGUCACUGAGCCCGCCCCUGUCACAGCUGAUAAAGUCAUUGACGAGCCAGAGUGUGAGGAGAAAGACGUGACAGAGAUGAGGGCUAAAGAGGAAAUUGGAGCCCAGAUGGAAAUCGAGGCUAAAAAGGAUGCCAUAGAUGAGAAGACGGUCCUUGACGUCAUCUCUGGAGAUUUAUCCACCCCCCACCCUGUUAUCUCAGAACUGCAGUGUCACACGCAGCUCGCCGCCCCCAAGGAAAUCCCAACAGAGGCAGUGCUGAAUGGACAGAUGGCAGCUGAGGUGGCCAUUGAGGGAUAGAUCUCUAUGGAUGUCCUCAGUCAGUAUGAAAGACUAAAGAGAGCCUGACAGUGAGCCGACCAGCGAACUUUACUUUUCAUUUUUUAGGGCUUAAAGGGACCGCUGGGAAAUUUGACAGACAUCCAACACUCAGUGCCUUUCUUGCUUGGGUUCUUACAAACAAAAUAUUAAACAAGUUUAAAAUGCGACAUGAAGGUGGGGGAAUAACACUUUUUUGUUGUUGAUCAGAAUGUGACAAUUUGGAAUAAACAAAUCAUGGCUUUCAUAGAUUUCUGUAUCCCAUUGCAUAUAUUGUGGAUUUGCCUCAAUUGUAAAUGGCAUGCAUUGUGUAUGAAUACUGUAGAAUUAAUGAAUGUGGCAAUGGCUUGUCUUCACAUGUUUGUAUGGAUGAGAGGGAUUAAUUCCUUGUACACGUUUCCUGUUUUAACCUGGUUUGAUUCCUUUUUGUGAAGGGACAGUAUGGCAGUUUGUACAGUACCAUAGCUACCCCCUCUUCUCCCUAUCCCCAUUGUGGUACUUUUGUUUUUUCAGGGACUGUAUGAUGACAGCUCCACCCUCUUUACUGUGUAGUGUCAGUGUGUCUACAGUCCCAAGUCUGUCCUGGGCAAUGUGAAAUGGUGUGUAGUUUUAGGUCCUCUGACCAGAUGCUCUUAACAUUUAAUUACCUAUGCUGCCAACUUAAAAUAGAGUAUGGGGGCCUGUAGAUCCUGUUUUUAGUUUUUCUUUUCUUUUUCUGUUUUGUAUAGACCAUAUGAUGUGGUACAACCGCUGUUUGUGUUCAGUUACGUGCUCUGGAAUUGACCAUGGAGUUGUCAUGUAAUUGAGGAGCUGGGUUGGAUUUCAUUCACCUUUUUGAAUAAAGAUGUUACUCACCAAGUUCUUGAUUCAGUUGUUGGCCUGUGUUCUACAUUCCUUAGUAAUAAUGUUUUUGUUUGUUUUAACACAUUCAGCUUGAGUUCCACAUUAGCAUAACGUUUGAAACUAUAAAUAGUUCCAGGCAGCUGAAGCAAGCACAUUUU